UACGUAGGGGGCAAGCGUUUGUCCGGAGUUACUGGGCGUAAAGCGCACGCAGGCGGUCUUUUAAGUUUGGAGUGACAGUUGGUGGCUUAACUGCCAAAGUGCUUCGAAAACUGAGAGACUUGAGGGCUUCAGAGGGACACGGAAUCCGGGUGGAGUGGUGAAAUGCGUAGAGAUCCGGAGGAACACCAAAGGCGAAGGCAGUGUCCUGGGGAGUACCUGACGCUCAGGUGCGAAAGCCAGGGGAGCGAACGGG
Molecule: ribosomal RNA, 253 nt
Filed under: uncultured bacterium
Lineage: Bacteria
Description: partial 16S ribosomal RNA
Rfam family: Bacterial small subunit ribosomal RNA
Source: RNAcentral